GCCUGGGUGGCUCAGCUGGUUAAGUGUCUGACUCUUGGUUUCAACUCGGGUCAUGAUCUCAUGGUUUGUGGGUUCAAGCCCCGCCUCAGGCU
RNAcentral lists this transfer RNA (92 nucleotides) under Felis catus (domestic cat). It matches the Rfam family "tRNA". From Rfam's summary of the family: Transfer RNA (tRNA) molecules are approximately 80 nucleotides in length. Their secondary structure includes four short double-helical elements and three loops (D, anti-codon, and T loops). The record is from Rfam by way of RNAcentral. Lineage: Eukaryota; Metazoa; Chordata; Mammalia; Carnivora; Felidae.